Molecule: non-coding RNA, 1496 nt
Organism: Arachis ipaensis
Lineage: Eukaryota; Viridiplantae; Streptophyta; Magnoliopsida; Fabales; Fabaceae
Source: RefSeq, a predicted model, not a curated record
ACCUUCGUCGUCCUUCGCCAAUUCCUUACACUCCCAUUUGCGACCUUUCCUAUGCCCAAUUUGAUCGAAAUUAGAAUCCAUCGUCCCCAAUAAUUCCUUUAUUAUUUUCUUAUUAUUAAAUUAUUAAUUUUAUUUUUAUCAUUCACAACGCCAACAACUACUUUAGCAUUAUCAAUUUAUCAUCAUCCAACAACAAUAUCAUCAUAUUCAUUCUCCAUUGUUUCCUCUCUCUCUCUCCUCGUCAUUCGUCAACACUUGCCAACUAUUUAAGUUACCCAAAGAUGCUUCGUUUUCAUCAUAUCGUUAGAGUUUCUCUAUUUGCAUCCAAAGCUUCAACCUUUCCUCUUACCUCUCUUUCUCUUUCAACAUCAAUUCCCAAAAGAACUACCUUCGCACUUCGAUCACAAAUGACUUCUUUCUCUUCUUCUUCUUCCUCUUCCUCCUCAAAGCUCUUGUUUCGCCAGCUUUUCGAGAAGGAAUCGUCUACAUACACGUACCUUCUUGCUGAUGCAUCACACCCCGAUAAACCAGCGCUUUUGAUAGACCCUGUAGAUAGAACAGUGGAUAGAGACUUAUCCCUUAUUCAAGAGCUGGGAUUGAAGCUUGUGUAUGCCAUGAACACUCAUGUACAUGCUGAUCAUGUCACUGGGACUGGCCUUAUCAAGAGCAAAGUUCCGGGUGUAAAAUCUAUUAUUUCGAAAGCAAGUGGUGCAACGGCUGAUCUUUUUGUGGAACCAGGUGAUAAAGUCCAUUUUGGUGAUCUUUUUUUGGAGGUUCGAGCUACUCCUGGUCAUACCUUGGGUUGCGUUACCUAUGUUACAGGAGAUGCUUCUGAUCAACCUCAACCUAGGAUGGCAUUCACUGGAGAUGCCCUAUUAAUACGUGGAUGUGGAAGGACUGACUUUCAGGGUGGGAGUUCGGAGCAGCUUUACAAAUCAGUAUAUUCACAGAUUUUUACACUGCCCAAGGAUACAUUUAUCUACCCAGCUCAUGACUACAAAGGAUUCAGUGUAAGCACUGUUGGAGAGGAGAUGCAGUACAAUCCACGGCUAACAAAGGAUGAGAGAGAUCCUCGAAGCAUGGAAUAUGGAAAGGUCGGAUCUACUAUUUGAAUGCUUUGACUGACAUCCAAUUUACAGCAAAGCUAAUAUUCUGUGAUAAAUAACUUUUGUCCGGGAAGCUGAGCUCUUGAAAAUGAAACUUUCAAGAACAUCAUGGCAAAUCUUAACCUUUCAUAUCCAAAAAUGAUCGAUGUUGCUGUCCCAGCUAAUUUGGUUUGUGGAGUUCAAUCCAAGUAGAGGGUGUCUGUGUGAGCAAGAAGCAAGAAUGAGUACAAAUAACACACUCCAGCAACCAGUUAGUAAUGUAAUUUACCACGAAAAAGAAGUGUUAAUUGGAAUUUGAGUUGAACAGAAAAUGAAGAAUGUAAACUAAUAGUAAAAUAAUGAUUGUGGGACUCAAUCUAAUAUAAAUAUAUACUUCAGUGAUUAUGCUUA